RNAcentral lists this ribosomal RNA (252 nucleotides) under uncultured Lactobacillus sp. RNAcentral's name for it is "partial 16S ribosomal RNA". It matches the Rfam family "Bacterial small subunit ribosomal RNA", at positions 109 to 355 of the family's 1533-position model. The record is from RNAcentral. Lineage: Bacteria; Bacillati; Bacillota; Bacilli; Lactobacillales; Lactobacillaceae.
AGUAACGCGUGGGUAACCUGCCCUUAAGUCUGGGAUACCAUUUGGAACAGAUGCUAAUACCGGAUAAAAGCUACUUUCGCAUGAAAGAAGUUUAAAAGGCGGCGUAAGCUGUCGCUAAAGGAUGGACCUGCGAUGCAUUAGCUAGUUGGUAAGGUAACGGCUUACCAAGGCGAUGAUGCAUAGCCGAGUUGAGAGACUGAUCGGCCACAUUGGGACUGAGACACGGCCCAAACUCCUACGGAGGCAGCAGCU